RNAcentral lists this long non-coding RNA (1048 nucleotides) under Mytilus galloprovincialis (Mediterranean mussel). Lineage: Eukaryota; Metazoa; Mollusca; Bivalvia; Mytilida; Mytilidae. The record is from RNAcentral.
ACUGAAGGGAAAUUGUUAAACCAUGUGUUUUGAAAUAGUUUUACAUCAAUUUUAACUAGCCAUGUUCCAUAGAAAACUCUAUAGAUUUGCCUUUGCCGAUGUGGAAAGGGACAAUGCAUGGAUGGUAAUCUUUUCAAAUGUUCAGCCCAAUGUUAACCAGCAUCAUGAUAUUGUGAAAGUACAUUGUGUACAACUGUACAAAUGAAUGUACAUUUUUUACUGACAUCAAAAUAAUACACCAACACAGCUCAUCUACUUUAAUGCCUUUAAUGAUGUAUAGGUAGUGCUGUUUUUGUCUUCAUUAUAAAUCACUGCCCCCCCCCCCUUAUUAUGCAUGUUAUUAUUAUUGACCCCCUUCUCUAUCUGGCAUUUUGCUAGGCUAAAUAAUGUUUUCCUGCAACAACUUCAAAUCAAACAAUGAAAGAUGUUUUCCUGCAACGGUGUCAAAGCAAAAAUCAAAAUAGCCUUGCAAGAUUGUGGCGUCAAAGCAAAUAAUUAAAAUAGCAAGACGUCAUAAUUUUUUUUAAACCUGUGCAUUAUGUCAAAUGUACCUGAGCUUUAUCUUUUGUAGACCGAACUGCUCAUAACUAUACUUCAGUCAAGUCCAGUUAGAGUUUAUAUAUAUAUAAUAUAUAAAGGAUAUUCUGUUAUCCAAAAUAUCUCAACAUUCUUUUGAUCCUACAAUAUUGCAAAAUAUUUUAUUUUAAAACAAUAGAAACAUUGCUACAAAUAUAAAUUAUUCCUAAAUUUGCAUAAACCCAUAGAAAUCUAACAUAAAUUUUGCAAAUAUAAUUGUUAGAGCAAAGAUCUUGAGGUAGUAUUGCUAUUGUUAAGGACAUAUUUGAUAUUGGAAUUGUUUAAGCCAUAUGCUAUUGUAUUAUUAUUGCCACAUGUAACUAUAUUACACCUUUUUUUCAGUAUUUUCCAAAAUGCUCAAACUGGUGAAUGCUAAGAAGAAAAGUCUAGGCACAAGGAUUCAAGUCCCCAAAAAAGUCUAAGCAGUUGUGUGCCAACAGCAGUUGACCAUUCAUGCACUAAUCAUGUGGAC